AAAUCCAAGCCUGUGAGCAGCUCCACAUCUCUUACUCUGCACUGGUGGAACCACACCAGGUCUUCCACCCACUGCGACUCUGCCUCUUGACUCUGUGUGGGAAAAGUUGUGACUGCAGACUUAUUCCAUCACUGCAACUUCCUCCAACAGUUUGGGAGAGCACACUUACCCUCCAAAAUACAUUAACCAAGUCACUGUUUCUUAAAAUUGUAUAAUAAACCAGCUGAGCUACA
Long non-coding RNA from Anguilla anguilla (European eel), 233 nucleotides. RefSeq lists it as uncharacterized. The transcript is spliced from 2 exons. The record is from RefSeq and is a predicted model, not a curated record. NCBI's taxonomy places the organism in Eukaryota, Metazoa, Chordata, Actinopteri, Anguilliformes, Anguillidae.